UUUUUUUUAACGCUGAUAAGUGUCGUCACCGCUACAACCAGAUGCGGACAAUGUGAAGCCCACGGACAGAGAUAUAGGGGACAUUAUCGAUUCCAGAUGACAAACGGCUGUUUACGUUAUAAUUGCAUCUGUAACUGUAAUGGUAGCUGGAAUUGCCCUCGACAGCGUCCAACCAAUGUGUGUUCUGGUUGAAAUGAGGGUGGGUCCAAUUCAAAUUGCAAAACUUGUAAAAGAGAUGGAAGAACGUACCAGGGAAACAGUCGUUUCCAAUUUACAAAUGGCUGCUAUCGGUUUAACUGUGACUGCAACUGUGAUGGAAGUUAUAUACUGUCCAUUAAGCAAGACGCAAAACAUUUGUUGAAAUGUUUUGUCAUUUGAUCGUCUUUGAAUUAUCUCGAUUAAAUAUAAAUAAAAGGCUGAUCUGAACG
RNAcentral lists this long non-coding RNA (428 nucleotides) under Mytilus galloprovincialis (Mediterranean mussel). Lineage: Eukaryota; Metazoa; Mollusca; Bivalvia; Mytilida; Mytilidae. The record is from RNAcentral.